GACGAACGCUGGCGGCGUGCCUAAUACAUGCAAGUAGAACGCACAGUUUAUACCGUAGCUUGCUACACCAUAAACUGUGAGUUGCGAACGGGUGAGUAACGCGUAGGUAACCUGCCCGGUAGCGGGGGAUAACUAUUGGAAACGAUAGCUAAUACCGCAUAAUAUUGAUUAUUGCAUGAUAAUUGAUUGAAAGAUGCUAUUGCAUCACUACCAGAUGGGCCUGCGUUGUAUUAGCUAGUAGGUGAGGUAACGGCUCACCUAGGCGACGAUACAUAGCCGACCUGAGAGGGUGAUCGGCCACACUGGGACUGGGACACGGCCCAGACUCCUACGGGAGGCAGCAGUAGGGAAUCUUCGGCAAUGGACGAAAGUCUGACCGAGCAACGCCGCGUGAGUGAAGAAGGUUUUCGGAUCGUAAAGCUCUGUUGUAAGAGAAGAACGGGUGUGAGAGUGGAAAGUUCACACUGUGACGGUAUCUUACCAGAAAGGGACGGCUAACUACGUG
RNAcentral lists this ribosomal RNA (505 nucleotides) under uncultured bacterium. RNAcentral describes it as "partial 16S ribosomal RNA". It matches the Rfam family "Bacterial small subunit ribosomal RNA", at positions 28 to 507 of the family's 1533-position model. The record is from RNAcentral.